RNAcentral lists this long non-coding RNA (6573 nucleotides) under Homo sapiens (human). RNAcentral describes it as "HSALNT0143713". The record is from RNAcentral. Lineage: Eukaryota; Metazoa; Chordata; Mammalia; Primates; Hominidae.
AAAAAAAGCAGAUGUGUAGCUCCUGGGUCAGAUGAUGAGGCACAAAAUUGCAUCUGUGAUGAGAAGUACACCAAGUCUGGGGUCAAGACUUGGAUGCUACCACAGAUCUUACCUCAGCCAUGGCAUUUAGCCUCUUGCUGUCUAAUUUCACCUCCUAUAAAAUGGAGCUAAUAAGCCACAUGUGGUGGCUCACGCCUAUAAUCUCGCUGAAGUGGGCAGAUCACUUGAGGUCAGGAGUUCAAGACCAGACUGGCCAACAUGGCAAAACCCCCUCUCUACUAAAAAUACAAAAAUUAGCCAAGCGUGGUGGUGCAUGCCUGUAAUCCCAGCUACUUGAGAGGCUGAGGCGGGAAGAUCACUUGAACCUGGGAGGUGAAGGUUGCAGUGAGCCAAGAUGGCACUACUGCACUCCAGCCUGGGUGAUAGAGCAAGACUGUCUCAAGAAAAAUAAAAAAAUAAAAUAAAAUAAAUGGGGCUAAUAGUACCUACCUCCCCUUCCUUCAGGCCAACAAGAGGUGGAUGAAGAUCUAACCCUGAGCUGAAAGGGAAUCUGCUGAACAGCAGGACUGAGGACUCAAAGACAGCAAGCAUUGUUUCCCAAACCAUCGAUUCCCGGAGCAAGCUUUGGGGCACACAAAGGCUGGCUGGCAUGAGGCACGUAGUCUGGACUGGGCAGACGUCUCCUCUGAAGACAUUGGAGGAAAGGGCCUUUUCCUCCUCAGCACUCAUCCUGAGAAAGGGAGAGGAAGGGGUGACUGUUCACACCUAGCAUAGAGAAAGACGUUCUCCUGAUGGCAGUGGCCGUGAUGCACACAUCUGCUCAAACCCUCCACUGGCUUCCUGCUCCUUCCGAAGAAAGCCAAAGGCCCUGUGUAGUGUGGACCCCGGCCUCUCUGACUUCACCUUCUACCCCCUUUACCUGCUCACUCCUCUCCAGCCAUUGGGACUUGGGUAUUCUCUAGUUCCCCUCCCUCCCGACUCAAUCCAUUGUCUGCUCUGUGCCAAGAAGCAGAUGCCUGUGGGCUCCAAGAACAGCUCCCCAGUGCACUGGCCAUCAACUGUGUUUAGCCAAUGGGAGGCACCAGCAGGAGGUCAGAGGGCAGAAGAAGGGAGAGUUCACAGCAGGAGUGACAGGUCCCUCUCCACAUGGCAGCGGCUGGGUACCCCACACUGCAGCCAAUCCUCCCCAGCCCUGGCAACACUGUACCACCCCCAUGAUCCAUGUUGGCUCCUUAACCUUCUCUGACACCUUCCCUAACACCUCUGUCCACAGUCUCUUCCUUAAACCUCCCUUCCUCAGCUGAGCCAUUAGACCCUGACUGAUGCACGGGCUCAUGACCCAUCUGGGUGUUUCGUAUGCCCUCUGCCUGCCUUAUUAUCUGGCUUCAAGUCCCAGCUCUUUUUUUAAUUAUUUUAUUUAUUUUUUUUUAUUUUUUUUUUCAUUUUUUUUUUAUUUUUUAUUUUUGAGAUAGGAUCUCACUCUCUCACCCAGGCUGGAGUGCAGUGGCACAAUCACGGCUCACUGCAGGCUUGACCUCCCAGGCUCAAGCCAUCCUUCCACUUCAGCCUUCUGGGCAGCUGGGACCACAAGUCUAUGCCACCAUGCCCGGCUAAUUUUUUUAUAAUUUUGGUAGAGGUAGGGUCUCCCUCUGUUGCCCAGGCUGGUCUCAAACUCCUCUCCUGAAGUGAUCCUAUUCCCCUUGGACUCCCAAAGUGCUGGAAUUACAGGCACGAGCCACUGCACCCAGCCCGCCUUUUAUUAUAUGGGUGACCUUGGGCCAAGUUAGUCAAUUUCUUGCCACAGCUCCUUCAUCUGUAAAAUGGGGUGAUGAUAAUAGGACAGUCACACGUUGCUUAAGGGUAGAGAUACAUUCUGAGAAAUGCGGCGUUAGGCAAUUUCGUUGUGCGAACAUUACAGAGGGAGUUUGUACAAAACUAGAUGACAGCCUACUCACUACACAUCUGGACUAUAUGGUACAGCCUACUGCUUCUAGGCUGCAGUCCUGAAUGGCAUGUUACUGUACUGAACAUCGGAGUCAACUUAAUACAAUGGUUGAAAGGUGUUGCAUGAAGCCUGCAGCCCGGCCAGAAAGACUUCAGCUGGAUGGAAGGCGAGCCCAUGGCCUCUUCUCUUGCAUGUGGUGUUCCCAGCCAGAGACCCAAGCGUCUAUCUCUACAGUCAGCCCACCCAUGGCCCUUCUCUGGGGACUAGGUGAUAAUUAUGGCUGAAGGGGCGUGGGGGUGUUUGUCAGUCAUGAACAAGAUUCCAAAGAGCGCUGCCACUUCCCAGACAAAUAACAGACCCUCAGGGGGCCUGGCUUAUGGUCCCAUGGGCUAGAAUCCAUAUCCUCAGGUGUGGGACAGGCCAGUGAAGUCCAACUGUAACCAGAACCACUCAUGUCCACUGCCCAUCACCUAGAGGAUUUCAUCACACCUGGCAUGGGUGUGAAAUGGGGAGUUUGAAAACAGAGAGCAGGUGGGGGACUCCCGGCCCAGCAGCCCCUCUCGGUGCAGUGCAGGCGCCAAGCGUGUGGACUCUGAAGCCAUAUGCCCAGGUAUGAAUCUAGGCUUUCUUGCUCGCUGACUGUGGGCCAAGUUUCUUAUUGUAAUACUCUGUGCCUCAGUCCUCUCCUCUGUAACAUGGAGACAACUGUGGAAACUAAAUGACGUAAUGCACUUAAAGCAGUGCCUGUAACACACUGUAAGCACUCUUUUACGUUCUUAUUUUAUUAUUAGCAGUCAGAGUUAUUGCCAUUACCUCCAGCCUCUGGAUCUGCCCAGUUCUGGCCAGCUCCAACAAGGACAUUCCAUUUUCUUCCACCAUGGAGGGGCUUCACUGCAGUCACUCCAAAAUUUAGACUACAUGGUUCAGCCUUGACCUAACCCUCUGCAGCCUGUAUACAAGCAUUUGCUCACCUUUCAUAGAAAAAAUAGCUAAUGCAUGCUGGGCUUAAUAACUAGGUGAUGGGUUGAUAGGUGCAGCAAACCACCAUGGCACACGUUUACCUAUGCAACAAAUCUGCACAUCCUGCACAUGUACCUCGGAAUGUAAAAUAAAAAUUAAAAUUAAUUUUAAAAAAAGAAUAUGUAUGAACCACCCACUGAGUGUCAGACAACACAGAGUUCAAGGACAAAGUCAGUUUCUUUUCUCUAGGGGAGGAGUCACACCAAAAUCAAAGAGCCAAAUAAUUUAAUAAAUUUUUUUUACAGACUAUGACUGGUGCCACAGUGAAAUUCAGCAGCAUCCAGUGAUGAGAAAUGGAGGUUAGGGAAUGAGUCUAUUAGAAGGGGUGGUCUGAGGAGGUGAUAUUGAAGUUAGGAUGAGAAUCAGCUUUUCAACAAGCUGGGGAAAAAGCAUUCUAGGAUCUGGGACCAGCAAGUGCAAAGGUCCUGUGGUGCCCAGGGAAGGGUGUCAGGGAACUGAUCAAAGACCAGGAUGUGGGGCUACAGAGGGAGGGACCACUUGAUGAGGCUGGAAGACACUAGUGUUCACAAAAUAACUCCGUGAAUACUAAACAAUCUUAGGCCUGCAUAGUCUAUCUAACAAAUGAAUUCUAUUUACCUCAUCCAAUUGUGUGUGAUUCCAACCUCUUCUUGACUACCUCUAGUGAUGGAGAACUCACUCACUGCAAUUUCAGAGAAUGCUCAUUCACUCGAUCAACAGGAACAGGCUGCUCAGGAUUUCAAAAAAGUCAGGAGAUACAAUGGGAAGCCUGGAGAUAGGGUUUUUGUGGAGGUUUUUUGUUUGUUUGUUUGUACUUUAAGUUCUGGGAUACAUGUACAGAACACGCAGGUUUGUUACAUAGAUAUGCGUGUGCCAUGGUGGUUUGCUGCACCCAUCAACCCAUCUUCUAGGUUUUAAGCCCCGCAUGCACUGGGUAUUUCUCCUAAUGCCAUCCCUCCCCUUGCCCCCCAUCCCCCAACAGGCCCCAGUGUGUGAUGUUCCCCUCCCUGUGUCCAUAUGUUCUCAUUGUUCAACUCCCACUUCUGAAUGAGAACAUGCUGUGUUUGGUUUUUCGUUCCUGUGUUAAUUUGCUGAGAAUGAUGGUUUCCAGCUUCAUCCAAGUCCCUGCAAAGGACAUGAAUGCAUUCUUUUUUAUGGCUGCAUAGUAUUCCAUGGUGUAUAUGUGCCACAUUUUCUUUAUCCAGUCUAUCAGUGAUGGGCAUUUGGGUUGGUUCCAGGUCUUUGCUAUUGUAAAAAGUGCUGCUAUAAACAUAUAUGUGCAUGUGUCUUUAUAGUAGAAUGAUUUAUAAUCUUUUGGGUAUAUACCCAGUAAUUGGAUUGCUGGGUCAAAUGGUAUUUCUGGUUCUAGAUCCUUGAGGAAUCACCCCACUGUCUUCCACAAUGGUUGAACUAAUUUACAUUCCCACCAACAGUGUAAAAGCGUCCCUAUUUCUCCACAUCCUCUCCAGCAUCUGUUGUUCCCUGACUUUUUAAUGAUCACCAUUCUAACUGGCAUGAGAUGGUAUCUCAUUGUGGUUUUGAUUGCAUUUCUCUAAUGACCAGUAAUGAUGAGUUGUUUUUUGUUUUCUGUUUUUCAUUUGUUUGUUGGCCAUAUAAAUGUCUUCUUUUGAGAAGUGUCUGUUCACAUCCUUUGCCCACUUUUUGAUGGGGUUUUUGUUUGUUUGUUUGUUUGUUUUUUCCCCUGUAAAUUUAAGUUCUUUGUAGAUUCUGAAUAUUAGCCAUUGGUCAGAUGGAUAGAUUGCAAAAAUUUUCUCCCAUUCUGUAGGUUCCUUGUUGACUCUGAUAGUAGUUUCUUUUGCUGUGCAGAAGCCCUUUAGUUUAAUUAGAUCCCAUUUGUCAAUUCUGGCUUUUGUUGCCAUUGCUUUUGGUGUUUUAGUCAUGAAGUCUUUGCCCAUGCCUAUGUCCUGAAUGGUGUUGCCUAGGUUUUCAUCUAGGGUUUUUAUGGUUUUAGGUCUUAUGUUUAAGCCUUUAAUCCAUCUUGAGUUAAUUUUUGUAUAAGGUAUAAGGAAGGGGUCCAGUUUCAGUUUUCUACAUAUGGCUAGCCGGUUUUCCUGACACCAUUAUUAAAUAGGGAAUUCUUUCCCCAUUGCUUGUUUUUGUCAGGUUUGUCAAAGUUCAGAUGGUUGUAGAUGUGUGGUAUUAUUUCUGAGGCCUCCAUUCUGUUCCAUUGGUCUAUAUCUCUGUUUUGGUACUAGUAUCAUGCUGUUUUGGCUACUGUAGCCUUGUGGUAUAGUUUGAAGUUUAAGGUUUUAAGCAGACUCAGUGAACUCUGCUAGUUAAUAAGUGUAGGUGAGGUUGUAAGCAGGCCACAGUGGAAGCAGAGGGCCCAAGUAGAAGAUAUUACCUAUGGGCAGGGAGGAACAAUGGUUCCUAUGGGAAGACUUUGCUUAAAGUGAGAUACAAGGUCGUCAACUUCAGUGUCACCUGUGAGCUUGUUAGAUCCAAUUCUCAGGCCUCAUCCUAAGUCUCUAGGGAGGGGUCCAGCUGUCUGGGUUUCAACAAGCCCUUCUGGUGAUUCUGACUACACUAAAAUUUGAAAAUCACUGGACUACAGGACUGAUAAUAUUAACUAGAAAACAAUGGUGUCCCCCAGGAAUGGCUUCAUAUCCCUCUGGAGCCAGGCAGAGCCAAUGCCCUCGGGCCAAGACAUUAAGAUCCAUAAGGCAGGCUUGUAAUCCCAGCACUUUGGGAGGCUGAGGCAGGUAGAUCGCUUGAGUCCAGGAGUUCAAGACCAGCCUGGGCAACAUGGUGAAACCUUGUCUCUACUAAAGAUACAAAAAUUAGCUGGGCAUCAUAGCAUGCACCUGUAGUCCCAACUACUCGGGUGGCUGAGGUGGGAGGAUUACUUAAGCCCAGGAAGCUGAGGUUGCAGUGAGAUUGUGCCACUGCACUCCAGCCUGGGCGACAGAGCAAGACCCUGUCUGGGAAAAAAAAAAAAAUCCAUAAAGCAGUUUUCAGAGAAGACUCUGUCCAUGGGAUUGAUGUUCACUUACCCCGGCUAGGACCGGGCGAGGCCAAGAUAGAGGGCAGGAGAGAGGAGCAGCUUCAACAUCUCUGCAGACACCAUCACUGCAGCCACAUUCCAGUUCCACAGAGGAAUGCAGACAAUCCUCACAAUCCCCAGGGCAGGGCAGGAGGUAGAGAGGAUUAUGAAAUGCCUGCUUGUUGACCAAAACCUACCUAGGGAAUCUCACCGAAUCCCUCAACAACCCAGAACAGUACUAUUCUGUUUACUCCCUUUGGCUCCAUAGGGCCCAACAGAUUAUGGCAAUCCAGAAAGGCUGAGACCAGAGCCCCAAGUGGCCAAGACAACAAGAAAGGAGCCAUAAUAGUGUUGCCCACUGUCCCCUCCUAUAUAUCUGGGGAGGUGGGGGGAGAUUCCUCUCAAAGGUUUCUUGUUUUGUUCCAGAAUGGUAAGAGAUACUACUGUUCAUUAAAUAACUCCAUGAAUAUCAGAUAAUCUCAGAGUUGGAUAACCUUUUACCCAAUACCUGAAUUCUAUUUACCUUAUCCAAUUGUGCAAGAAUUUUUUUUUUUUCUUUUGAAACAGAGUCUCACUCUGUCGCCCAGGCUGGAGUGGAGUGGUGCGAUCUCAGCUCACUGCAAGC